This 511-nucleotide ribosomal RNA is filed under the name uncultured bacterium. RNAcentral's name for it is "bacterial SSU rRNA". The stretch from base 66 to 511 matches the Rfam family "Bacterial small subunit ribosomal RNA", at positions 1 to 430 of the family's 1533-position model. The record is from RNAcentral.
GAAGCAGGGAAGAAAACAUACAAGUACCCUGUCGAAUCAUUGAUUCGGCAACGGUUCAAACAUCUCAAUUGGAGAGUUUGAUCCUGGCUCAGAGCGAACGUUAGCGGCAGGCUUAACACAUGCAAGUCGAGCGACAAAGGGGCUUCGGCCCUGAGUAGAGCGGCGGACGGGUGCGUAACACGUGGAUAAUCUGCCUCGUGGCGGGGGAUAACAGUCCGAAAGGACUGCUAAUACCGCAUGUCAGGUCGGAAACCCUGGUUUACUGACGAAAAAGAGGGCGCCCGCAAGGGGCUCUCACCACGAGAUGAGUCCGCGGCCCAUCAGCUAGUUGGCGGUGUAAUAGACCACCAAGGCUAAGACGGGUAGCUGGUCUGAGAGGAUGACCAGCCACACUGGGACUGAGACACGGCCCAGACUCCUACGGGAGGCAGCAGUGGGGAAUAGUUGGACAAUGGGCGAAAGCCUGAUCCAGCCAUGCCGCGUGAGUGAUGAAGGUCUUCGGAUCGUAAAG